UCUUAAGAGAGAUGAGCCUGGG
This 22-nucleotide non-coding RNA is filed under the name Rattus norvegicus (Norway rat). The record is from RNAcentral. Lineage: Eukaryota; Metazoa; Chordata; Mammalia; Rodentia; Muridae.